CAAAGUGUAGCUAAAUCAGUAAAGCACCUCCCUUACACCGAGAAGAUUCCCGUGCAAUCCGGGUCACUUUGC
This 72-nucleotide transfer RNA is filed under the name Plesiobatis daviesi. RNAcentral describes it as "tRNA-Val". It matches the Rfam family "tRNA". Rfam says of the family: Transfer RNA (tRNA) molecules are approximately 80 nucleotides in length. The record is from RNAcentral. Lineage: Eukaryota; Metazoa; Chordata; Chondrichthyes; Myliobatiformes; Plesiobatidae.